CGUUUGUCAAAGAUCAUGAGCUCACUUCCAUUUCUGCCCUCUGUCGGAUAGAAUGCAGCAGAAAAAGCACAGUAAUCGUAAUAGCGCCUGGCCCAGGGCAUGGUGUGAACGUGGGCCACACACGAUUUAUUCAUUUCAUUGACACGAGUCCUCUGUGGGGUAGGGACUGGCAUUCACAUGUCACAGAGGAGGACAUGGAGACUUGGUGGGGUGAGGCAACCUGCCUGACAUCACACAGCAAUAAGAGGAAGCACUGGGAUUUGAAUCCCAGUCAGUUUGACUUUGGAGGCUGAGUCUUUCAGCCACUAUGUGGGAUGAUGUGCCUCCCACCGCUUCCAUUUUUGGGAAUCGAAUGUGAAGGAAGAGUUGAGAAUGAUGUUACGAAAACUUUAUUCCAUGAGGAUCUGACGUGCGGCAGCUGAAAGCUGUUUAGGAUAUAUCAAAUAUGUGAUAAUUGCUCACAGCCCUUAUAUCUCUACUGAACUCAGAAAUAAUUCAAGAUCAAGACACAAGAGUCAGGACCCGAUAAUCAUCGAAAGAAGAGAGACUUCACUCUGCCUGAUGAAGAAAGGCUGGGCUCCAGAGAACGACAUUCCCAGAUAUGGAGGUGUUUCUGAAAUGGAGGCUUCCUCACAGAGCAGGAGAUAAGCAAGAUGGUGACUUUCUGAGUGACGAACUUUCUUCGAGAAUAACAACAGCAACAAUGAUAAAACCCCACAGCGCCAGUGCCUUAACGCUCCAUAUGACAUACCUGGAAAGUUCUGGAGUGGCAGGAUGGGCUCGGUGUAAAGACCACUACACACCAUAAUCCCAUCAAAGACAUAGGAUUCCUGCUUCCCUGUGGUCUCGACCAGGACGUCCGUGCAAGAGAAGUCGGAGCGCUUCCUCACGCUGUGCACCUUUGACUGGGAAUGAGACCAACUUGGACAUGUGGCCUCUCUUCCUGGCUGCCUCCUGUCCCAGAACUUUUGGCCUCAUUGAGUGAGGUUGGUUAUAGCUACUCUCCCUCGGGGUUUUCUGAAAGAGUUUCUUUAUAGCUGGUGUUCCUACCAAGACCUUUUUAAGUAGAGACGUAAGCCAGCACGUCCCAGCUGUGGUCCUGAAUGUAGUUGACGGUGAGCCAACACCAGGUGCACCGUCUGGCGUUUUCAGCCAACCCAUCAUACCUUUUCCAGAAGGAAGUAAGGAUGGAAGGUCCUGCUGACUCCACCAAAGAGGCACACAGGGCUCCCCUCCAAGAUUGAAUGCCUGUGCCUUGCUGCCCCUCACUUAGCCUGGUUCUGGACUCUACCAAGAAGGUUCUGCAUAUGCUGAGUGUUCCCGGCUCCACUUACCAGAAACCGGAUGUGCUUCGUGAGGUCAAAGUGUUGUGCAUACAUCCUGAGGUACUCCAUGAUUCUGGAAUUGUGCAAGUAGUUGGGGAAACGAUCGGGGGAAGGGUAAUCGCGGUAGGUUGUCAUCUCCUUCGAAGUGUUGCUGGUGGCAGAUUUGUAGACACUUGCCCUGCCACUCGUAGUCUCCUCCUGCCAGGAAAAAGAAGAUACUUCCCAUCUUUUAGAAUACAAGAGUAACAGUUAAAAAAAAAAAAUCAAUCCCUUCACUUGUCAAAUUGUGAGGCUCCUGGGAUGAAUUCCUUCAAAGAAAGUAAAGUUGCUUUUCCAGUACCUUCACGAAGAGAUAAGAUACCUUGCCUUAGUUUAAAACAACAGAUAAUUUUGUUGAGGAACAAAGAGGAGAAUAUGAAAAGGUGGAAGCAACCUGAAAAGAAAAAUGUAUGUAGAAUACCAGAGAGUGAAAAUAAUCAGAGGAAGUUGGGGCUGCCUCUCUGCCCACUGAGCUCAGAGGGGUCAGAGUCCUGGCCAGAGGAUAUCCAAGAAGUCCAUGCUGUUUGUAGUGACAGAAAAGAAUACAGAGUGUUAGUACA
This is a long non-coding RNA of Felis catus (domestic cat), 1924 nucleotides long. RefSeq lists it as uncharacterized. The transcript is spliced from 4 exons. NCBI's taxonomy places the organism in Eukaryota, Metazoa, Chordata, Mammalia, Carnivora, Felidae. The record is from RefSeq and is a predicted model, not a curated record.